This 458-nucleotide ribosomal RNA is filed under the name uncultured bacterium. RNAcentral describes it as "bacterial SSU rRNA". It matches the Rfam family "Bacterial small subunit ribosomal RNA", at positions 28 to 507 of the family's 1533-position model. The record is from RNAcentral.
GAUGAACGUUGGCGGUGUGCCUAAUACAUGCAAGUCGAACGGAGUUAGUAGCAAUACUGGCUCAGUGGCGAACGGGUGAGUAACGCGUUGGUGAUCUGCCUUGAAGUGUGGAAUAACGUUUCGAAAGGAACGCUAAUACCGCAUGUGCUCUCGAUUUUCAGAAAGUUGAGAGUAAAGGAUUUAUUCGCUUCAAGAGGAGCCUGCGUCCCAUCAGCUGGUUGGUAGGGUAACGGCCUACCAAGGCUAUGACGGGUAGGGGACCUGAGAGGGUGGCCCCCCACAAUGGAACUGAAACACGGUCCAUACACCUACGGGUGGCAGCAGUAGGGAAUAUUAGAAAUGGACGAAAGUCUGAUCUAGCAACACCGCGUGUGCAAAGAAGGCCUUGGGUCGUAAAGCACUUUUUGGAAGGAAUAGGAAGGAAUGUACUUCCAGAAUAAGUCUCGGCUAACUACGUG